This 444-nucleotide ribosomal RNA is filed under the name uncultured Anaerolineaceae bacterium. Its description in RNAcentral is "bacterial SSU rRNA". It matches the Rfam family "Bacterial small subunit ribosomal RNA", at positions 920 to 1382 of the family's 1533-position model. The record is from RNAcentral. Lineage: Bacteria; Bacillati; Chloroflexota; Anaerolineae; Anaerolineales; Anaerolineaceae.
CCCGCACAAGCAGCGGAGCGUGUGGUUUAAUUCGAUGCUACGCGAAGACCUUACCGGGUUUGACAUACAGGUGGUAGGGAACUGAAAGGGACCGACCCUUCGGGAGCCUGAACAGGUGCUGCAUGGCUGUCGUCAGCUCGUGUCGUGAGAUGUCCGGUUAAGUCCGGUAACGAGCGCAACCCUUGCUGUAUGUUACAAGUGUCAUACGGGACUGCCGGUAUCAAGCCGGAGGAAGUGGGAUGACGUCAAGUCAGCAUGGCCUUUAUAUCCGGGGCUACACACACGCUACAAUGGUCAGUACAAUAGGUUGCAAAGCCGCGAGGUGGAGCCAAUCCCAAAAGCUGGCCUCAGUUCAGAUUGCAGGCUGCAACCCGCCUGCAUGAAGUUGGAGUUGCUAGUAACCGCGCGUCAGCCAUAGUGCGGUCGAAUACGUUCCCGGGCCUU